Molecule: long non-coding RNA, 1822 nt
Filed under: Mytilus galloprovincialis (Mediterranean mussel)
Lineage: Eukaryota; Metazoa; Mollusca; Bivalvia; Mytilida; Mytilidae
Source: RNAcentral
UACACAUCAUUUUUUUAAAACAGAUAAUACUUCUUAAUAAUUAUUAAUGGCAGAGCUAAGAAAGUGAUGAAUAUUUGUAAUUUUGGAAGUGUCUGUUCUUCAACCUUUAACUAAAGAAUUGUUUUAGCUACAUGUAUGUUAUUAUAUUUCUGUUACAGAAAAUAUUUAAAGUGGAUUUAAUAUAAAAUUGUGUAAACAGGGCAUCUUGAUAUAUAGGUAUUAGGUUCAUGUAUUACAACUACAAUGUAGUUUUAUGUAGACCUACUCUGUACAUUUAUAACUAAAACCCAACUAGAUGUAUACAGUUAAAUUAUUUAUACAAGUUAUAUAAAUUUUAAACAUUGCCAUGAAGCUUAUUGUUAUUUUUUUUUUGCCUUUUUGAUAUAUAAAUAUAUAAAUGCAUGAAAAUGCUCCUGCAAGUAGAAGCUGAAUGUUGCAAGGGUACUAUUAUAAUUAUCCAUAUGUAGCCAAAAUAUUGUCUUUGUAUACUAUAACGUAUAUGACUAGUUCAAAAAUAGUGAUGUUUUUACACAAGUUGAAGUACUUAAAUAUAUUUGUUUUAAGUUUUAAUACAAAAAUUCAUGAAAAUCAGGUUUAUGUAGGCCUCGGUUUACACAUAUUUUUAUUCUAAGAUGGUUUAAGAUCUUUCAAACCACAUCAGUAAAUCUGUAACAGUAAGUGCGGAAUAACUUUUCAUUCUCUGUAAAACAUAAACAACAGUAAGGGUGCAAUAUCGUUUGAAAAUGAUAAUUAAACUCCAUUUGGGUCGUUCAGUGAUGAUUACAAAUACAGUACUGUAAUUUCUUGAUUUUAGUGCAGUUACCCUACAGUAUAGGAUGAUUUGUUGCAAUGUACAUGUAUUACUGUUAUAUUUUCAUCAAACUGCAAAUGUCAGUGUUGUUAUAUCUCAUAAAAAUUGUGAUUUCAGUUGGAAAGUAUUAAUGAAAAAACUCAGGGGAUAUCUUUUUGUCUUUAGGAAAAGCACUUACAAUAAAGGAAAAAUACUAUAGAUUAGUGGAUAGAAUAAGUGUCUUAAGUCAUGGUUCUAUGUCUAUUAAGACAAUAAGUCUCAUGGCAUUGUCUUAUAUUUCACUGGCCAGAAAGUAGGGCUAAUUGUCAUUUUUGUCACUCCAAAUUUGUAUGUUUCUUGAGUUAAAUGUGCAUGCUCAUCUUUUUCAUAAAAUUGAGUGAUAUAUGUGUGUAAUGUGUGAAAAUUGUGUGAUUUAUAUAUGCAAAGUGCUACAGUUAUUAUGUAAUGGUACUUAAUAGAACUAUAGAGUUUAUUGAUUUAGGUAAACGAUUUAAAUAUUUUCGACUAAAAAGUCCAAAUUUUGAAUUAAUACUUUGAAAGAUAAAGAAAACUCUUAACAAUUAUUACUGAUUUAGUAAAUACACUAAUUAUUUCUACCUAAUUGGUUUGUUUUUCCUUUAUUUGUUUUUUUAUACAUUGGUGCUUAUUUCUCUAUUUUUAAAUACUGUUUGAUUUCAUUUCCUUUCAUUAAAAAUGAUUUCAAUUUGAGAGCAAGUUUUCCUCAAUAGGGGUCCAAGGGUUCUUUUUUUCAUGGAAAUAUUUUCUGGUGGAGAAUUUCAAAAUGGAACAUUUCCAAUAAUCUUUAUAAUGUAUAACAUUAAGAUAAUAAUUUGAUAAAAGGGACUGAUCAGCAAUUAAUGUUGUUAAGUGAGAAAACGGAGAAAUGAAGAAGACAAUUGGUUUUAAAUGUACAACAACAAAUCUAUUAUAUAACUUUUUAAAGAUGCUAAAAUUCUAUUUAUAGAAUUUCAUUAAAGAUCUCUGGCAUUGUGCAAUUUAAAAAAACAAGAG